UGACCCUGUGCGGGAGAGUCCUCCGAAUGAGCUCGACGGAGGCGCCGAAGGAGCAAAUCCUCCCCGGAAUCUCUCAGGCAUACGUACCGCACGCGACGA
This 99-nucleotide non-coding RNA is filed under the name Streptomyces sp. RNAcentral describes it as "Glycine sequence". It matches the Rfam family "Glycine riboswitch aptamer". Rfam says of the family: This family represents the bacterial glycine riboswitch. Lineage: Bacteria; Bacillati; Actinomycetota; Actinomycetes; Kitasatosporales; Streptomycetaceae. The record is from RNAcentral.